UCCCUGCUAGCUCAGAUGGUAGAGAAUCCACUUGCAGUGCGGGAGACUUGGGUUCAAUCCCCAGGUUGGGAA
This 72-nucleotide transfer RNA is filed under the name Capra hircus (goat). It matches the Rfam family "tRNA". From Rfam's summary of the family: Transfer RNA (tRNA) molecules are approximately 80 nucleotides in length. Their secondary structure includes four short double-helical elements and three loops (D, anti-codon, and T loops). RNAcentral also lists the same sequence under 1 other name. Lineage: Eukaryota; Metazoa; Chordata; Mammalia; Artiodactyla; Bovidae. The record is from Rfam by way of RNAcentral.